RNAcentral lists this transfer RNA (67 nucleotides) under Lysiosquillina maculata. RNAcentral's name for it is "tRNA-Thr". It matches the Rfam family "tRNA". From Rfam's summary of the family: Transfer RNA (tRNA) molecules are approximately 80 nucleotides in length. Their secondary structure includes four short double-helical elements and three loops (D, anti-codon, and T loops). The record is from RNAcentral. Lineage: Eukaryota; Metazoa; Arthropoda; Malacostraca; Stomatopoda; Lysiosquillidae.
GUUUUAAUAGUUUAAAAUAGAACCUCGGUCUUGUAAAUCGGAAGUGAAUUAAUAAAUUCUUAAAACA